Bicyclus anynana (squinting bush brown) is the source of this 913-nucleotide long non-coding RNA. RefSeq lists it as uncharacterized. The transcript is spliced from 2 exons. The record is from RefSeq and is a predicted model, not a curated record. Lineage: Eukaryota; Metazoa; Arthropoda; Insecta; Lepidoptera; Nymphalidae.
ACGGUGGAAUUCAUAGUCGUAGUAGGGGGCCCCUAAGGGGAUUAUUCAGCCGCUAUGUGUCGAAUUCAACCCCUACGCGUUUCAUAGACAAAAGAAACCCCUCAUUUGACAGGAGCUGGCGGCUGACUGCUGAAUUACCGAUAUUUGUCAGCCAAACCAUCCCCUGGCAUUUUUUUUGUUGUUAUUCGUGAUUUAUUUAUUAGAAAGUGGACGUUCGGAUUGUUAUAAGUGAAGUUAUAAACAGCGAGUUAUAUCAGUGCCCAAGAUAUAUAUUCGCAAUUGCGUAAACCCAGUAUAAUACUAUGACGAUAUGGAAUGUACGAAAGAUUCUCAUAUUAGGCAUAAUAUGCCUCUGUUUGAUGAAGAAUGAACACAGAAGACCAAGAGAGGAAUACCAAUACCGCUAGCAUUAUACAUUCUAGCAGCACUUCGAUUCUAUGAAACGGGAUGUUAUCAGACUGUAGGUGCAGUCCAUCAAGCAUUCUAUGAAAUAACAGAAAUGACAAAAGUCAAGCUGUAUUGAUGUCACGCAUAGGUUUACAUAUAAACAACCCCGGAGGACCCUAUACACAGAUUUAAAGAAACCGGCUAUCAUGGCAGGGAAUAGCAGUGAUGAGCUCUGAGAAUACUGUUUUACCAAGAAUACUGAGAAUACUUUGGUCCUUGAAAAUCUGAGUUUUCAGAUCACAGUAAUUGGAAGACCCUCAUACCUUGAAAAGUCAGCAGCAUUUAAUAUCGAAGUAGUAGGAGUGAGUGCAGUGUAUUGUAAGGUGGUCACUCACUCUGAAGUCCAUAACAAUAGAAAAUAUAUACAAAUCUUAAUUGAAUGAAUGAUGGAAAAUAAAAAUUUAUUGAUUAACAUCUUUAAUAAAGAUAAUUAUUAAAUGUUUACUUCUGCAUUUUUCAUUUAAGU